Molecule: long non-coding RNA, 1305 nt
Organism: Drosophila yakuba
Lineage: Eukaryota; Metazoa; Arthropoda; Insecta; Diptera; Drosophilidae
Exons: 2
Source: RefSeq, a predicted model, not a curated record
UAUUUAUAAUCAUAAGUUUAUUUAGUUUAUUUAUUUCAUGGAAACACUUUGCUGGAGAUUACAAAAGUUAUUAAAUUCAUUUGUAAAAUGAUUAUUAUUCCUCCAGCAAUUCAAAGUAGGGGUUAAAUUGAAUUCUACAUCAGUGUGGAUUUAAUGAGUUGUCGACUGUUCUGAAUGAGCAUAAAAAAUGGAGUACAUUUGUGGGGGCUUAGGGCCAUUUUAUUUUAUUUUAACUCUUACGUUCCUCGAAUCUAAUUUGCAUAGCUAAAGCAAUUAGAAACGCCAUCCAGCUGAGCAAGCAGAAAGUUGCGAUAAACUUUCUCACUCUCGGAUGCAAUCGACAAGGACUCCCGUCGGAUGCAGUUGGUUUGUUUUCAGUCGGGACUUUCGAGUCGGGACUUCUGUGCAUAUUUAAGCAGCUGCGAAGGACAACUUUCGUUCUAAAACUGUCAACGCAGACACGCCUACGCUUUUUUUAACGGGGUGAAAAAAAGCGGCGGAAUAAGAAUCGCAAUAAAAUAAAUUGUUUCAAUGCACGCCGAAGUAAUCCGCUUUACGGUCGCCCACUCCUUGCGGUUUAAGAUUUAUGCACUGCUAAGACCCGAUUUCGACUCUCUUCCCUGCCACUUUCCUUAUCUCGCAGAUUGUUUCUUUCCUUUUUUCCAACCUGAGUUGGGGAAAGGAAAGUGAAAGGGGGGCCAAGAUGGAAAAUUUUCAAUUAAAGUGUUGAAAAUUUAAAGUCUCGCCGGAUUAGAACGCACGCGUGUUGAACACAUGACAAAUUAGCUUCCUAAUGAGCCGAGACAUAAAUCCAAACGUGCCACGCCCCUCGCCGCGUAAAGAAUGCCCCGCCCACAAGUUGACACGUGUACCUGCCUUUCUGCCCGACAUUGGAACAACACGGAACGCGACGAGGCAAUAGGACUUCAUUACAGGAACACGAUGCCAAAUCCUUGGCUGAAUGGAAGGACAUGUAGCAGUGGAAGGGGAAGUGGGUGGCUGUGCUCCUCUAUUGAAAUUAACUGUUGAUACAAAGGCUUCGUUUGAGUCGGCGGCAAACGCCAUUGGUUAAUUAAUGGGUAAUGGGCUACUGCAGGAGCGUCCAAUUAGUACUGCUUUUCUAGCAUCUAAGAGCUUUUUACUCACAGCUGGGACUUACAUUUUCCCUUUGAUUUGGGCUUACUAGAGAUUUCAGCAAUCGCUUGUUACGCAACAAAACGUUUGUAAGCCCACUGUAUUCCAGGAGCCAAUUAACAUACGAAGGUUGGUGUCUGCCCCUCAGCUCUGCAGCAAAUUCAAAGAAAG